Molecule: microRNA, 23 nt
Filed under: Saccoglossus kowalevskii
Lineage: Eukaryota; Metazoa; Hemichordata; Enteropneusta; Harrimaniidae
Description: sko-miR-1-5p
Gene: sko-miR-1-5p
Source: miRBase by way of RNAcentral
ACGUACUUCUUUAUAAUUCCAUA